ACACUCUCUGUUUCUCAUCCCCAGAUUCCCCACACACCUCCACACCCAACGGCACUCUCCACACCCGAAACCCCUCACGGAUGAAACCCCCUUCUCAGUUCUCUCUGCCUCUCCCAUGGAAACGACGAACUGAAGACGAUCACUCUGAAUCUUGAAGGAAUCUGGAUGGGGAGGAAAAGAGAAGAAGAAGAAGACGACGACGACUACGCAGCCAAUAUUUUUAGGGACUCGAUUCUGACUUUUCACUCUAUGUCGCCGAAUCCGUGGGUUUCUAUGUAUUUCCUCCUCUCCGUAAAAAACACAGCCAGAUCAACCUUGCUUUCCUCUUCGGCCAAUCAACUGUACAUCGCCUCCCUCCUCCGCCAUAGCUGCAGAAGUGCUCGCUACCUCAUCUCCUUCCCGCAACCAAAGCAAUUCUUUCCUUUUCGCCAUUACAGAGGGGCUUGAUCUAGGGUUCGAUAAUGGGCAAUCCAGAGGGCUUAGAAAGGUUUCCCCUAUCUUCCGCGGCCCCGCUACAUUCAUGUCUCUGUGCUGCAACCCAUAACUCAGAUUGGUGGUGAACUGAGCGAUGAGGAAGGAUCUACGUGGUGGUUGUACUAAGACCCAACAAUGGCCCUCUCAAUGCUAAUGAGUGGAUAGAGCAAUGAUGAAGGACCUACGUGGUGGUUGUUUUAAGACCCAACAAUGGCCCUCUCAAUGCUAAUGAGUGAAUAGGGCUGAGAUUGAACUUUAAUGUUGAACCAAUGGGCAGGAGGUAAUCGGAGUUGCCACUAAAUCAGCAGUGCUUCAGUCAAACGGGGAAUGGGGUUUCCGAGUUGCAUCUUAUCCAGUCUAUGCUUGUAGAUUUGAAAUCACUGAGGUCCUAGCUUCUUGAUCUUUCAUGCACGUCAAAGAAGGCCGAUACCAGCUACAUGGAGUUUGAUUAAGGGUGCUGAUUGAAUGCUAAGGUCAAUUGAAUUGUGUGCAUUGUUUGAGCAACUUUGUGAUCUUUGUGAAUUUGAGCCUGCGAAGAUGUUUGAUAGAAUGGCUAAUCUAGCCAAUAAUCUGGUAAUUAACCACCAAUGUGAUCCUACCGAAAAAUGGUUGGUAUUGAUUGGAAUCACUCCUGGUUCGGCUGAGAUUCAGUUAUUUGCUAGAUUGUAACAGUUCACCUCAUUUGCAGCACUACUCUGAAUUACAGGAUAUAAAACGUGUCAUUGUGAAUACUCAUGCAACCGAGCCACAGUUUCUUGUAGAGUUCUUUGGGACUCUUUUUGAGGACUAGGCACUGGAGUGCAUGAAGGACCUUCUGUUGGUUAACCGAAGAGGCAACCUCCAGAUAAUUCAACUGGGAGUUGAUGCAUGCACUAAAUGCUUUGAGCAGUUCAAGUCAUAUGAUGGGCUGUACUUUUUCCUUGGGUCAUAUUUGAGCUCCAGUGAGGAUCCUGACAUUCACUUCAAGUACAUUGAGGCUGCUGCAAAUUUGGACAAAUUAAGGAGGUUGAACGUGUGACAAGAGAAUCAAACUUCUACGACGCUGAAAAGACAGAGAACUUCUUUAUGGAAGCAAAGCUUCCAGAUGCACGACUACUUAUCAAUGUAUGCGAUUGUUUUGGGUUUGUUCUAGAUCUGACCCACUACCGUUAUAGGAACAAGAUGCUCCGCUACAUAGAAGGUUACGUUCAAAAGGUAAGAGUACUGUCAAGGGUCUUAGAUGCAUUUUUUGUCACUUGAAAAUUCGAACUCCUGCGAAGGCACAGUGCUGAACUCUUCUUGGAUUUCUUUGUAUAUGGUAACCUAGGAAAUGCUCCAUUUGUGGCUGGAUGAUGAGUGCGCUGAAGAUUUUAUUAAAGGCCUUAUUCUCUCUGUCUAUUCUCUGCUUUCAGUUGAACCACUGGAGUGUAAGAUCACCCUCCACUGUCCAGCUCCUCAUCUUCCCACCGUCGCAUCCCAUGGACGGCUUUCCCGGUAGCCCUUCCACUCUCCAUUGUCGCACCCCCAUCCGUCCACCGUCGCAACCCGUCUUCUCGUCCAAAAAAAUCAAUAUCGUGCGAAAACAUCAGAAAACAAAAGGAGGGCUAAAUAAAGGAAGUUAGUUGAGCUUGAAAGCCUUAAAUGAUCUGGUUUGUGACCUUCAUUGGCCAAUGAGGAGGGGAUUGGGUGUCUAGAAAGCUAAAUACAGAGUUCUCACUUGGGUAAGAGUAGUGCGCUCUCUCUCUCUCUCUCUCAUGUGCCAUUCUCCAGACCUGUGACCAAUAGCAAAAAAAUCGUUUGAAACUUAGUUGCACGAAGCGGGAGUAGGGGAGCGAGCGAAUAUAGAAGCUCCCAAGGUUGGGAGCGUGUACAUAUAUUAUGAAAAUAAUUCAGCAUAGAGUAUUCACUUUAAAAAGUACAAUAAUUUAGGAAGAAAAAAUUUGGUCCGAGUCCUCCAUAAGUGUAAGAAAUGGGCUAGUGGUACAAUAUAUGAUUUUCUUUUCAAGAUAUCAUGACUUAGGCUAGAUAUAUGAGUUCAUCAAAGACCAAUUAAUAAACACAAGUGAUAAAUCCCUGUUUUUCUAUACAAAUAUCAUACAAAAGCUCCCAUCUUUGUAAGAAACAAGCUCCCAUCUCUAUGAAAGCUACACCACUUUAGGAGCUCCCUACAAUUAAGGUUUGAAACGAUCAAUGGAGGCGGCCACCACCGCAGGUGAGUAUGAUUUUCGCGGGAGCUCUUGCUCUUGCAUCCAUACUCUCUCUCUCUCUAUUUUGGUCCGAUUUUUUAUUGGGAAACUUUCAAUUGUACAAGGGUGGCGAUAAUGCCACGACGUUUUUUUUAGAGCCAUGACAACUAACUAGAUUUCACAAUUCUACCCUUAAGUGGACACGAUCUAUCUCUCUCUCUCUCUCUCUCUCUCUCUCUCUCUCUCUCCUUCUUCUUCUUCUUCUUCUUCUCAUUGCUCUCAUAGCGGCACAAAAUCCAUUUCUCCUCCCUCUAUCAUUUAUCAAGUUUGGGUUUUGUGUUUGCGCAGGACAAACGGAAAUGCCUCACCAUCGUCAUCCUCGGCGUGGAGUUAACGGCAAGCCCAAUCACUGUCGACCCCUGGGCCCACCAGAAAGUUCUCGGGGUUUGGGAUUCCGACUCCAACAAAUCAAUGAAACUAUUACGUACCAACAAAUCGAGGAUUGUUUCUCCAUCAGCGUGAGUGUGCUGGAUAAGUAGACUGUGUAGCGGAGAAGAGAUGUAGAGAGGACUUCGUGGUUGAAGAAAUGGCCAAAUGAGUGAUUUGGGCAAUUACACGCUCGGAAAACGGUGUUGCAGAGCUGUUUCAGGGUGAUUCUCCUCCACCAUUACCCUGUUCUCUCACUCACACUCGAAACUGGUAUGUCUCUCUCUCUCACACACAAACUGAUUUGAAAUUGUGUAGUCCGUGGCUGUGCUAAAGUGCAUGGUCAAAAUAGUGAGAAGCAAAUGCUCACCAUCUGUUCGAUAAAAGUCCACAAUGGAAGGACUUGGUCAUCAUUGGCCUUAAUGACCUGAUCAUCUGACUCCAUUGACUUCAAUUAAUUUCAAACAGAUAGUUUAGCCGCAGCAUCUUUGCCAAAGAUAUCCACAGACACAGAUAUGUGUGAAACAAAUUGGCAUGGUUGUCCCAAUUUUGGCAUAUUUUUCCAAUUGAGUCACCUGAUUGGAGGAGUUUGUGCUUUGGGUUGGAGGGUAUUCUGGUCAUUUCGUUGGUUUUGGUGGCGGGCCACAGGCACUGUUUAGGGUAUUUACAAAUUACUUUAAUGGGUUUUCGGACUUUUAGCAUUUUCCAUCUGUGUCCAUUUUUAUAAGGUUAUUUUGUCUUCUUCUGUGAGGUCUUUUGAGGGUAUUUUGGAAAUAAGCAAAGCAUGCUCUGCAGAUUGUAGAGUUAAUGCCUUUCCACUUUUUGGGCGUCUCCUCUGAGUCUUCUCUCUCUCUCCCCCCAAACAAAAUUACGGAGUACCUCACAUGGCCACCAAAUUCGCCGCUUCGAACCAGGCUGCAAUGUCUUCGUCCUGCCCAUGAAGUAGACCCACACACACUCAUCAAUGGGCCUUUGUGGAAAAGCCUCCAACAUGCCUUUGUCUUCCCUCUCUCGCCUGUGUGUCACUGAGAGAGGGAGAAAGACAUAAGUAAAUCCCAAAACCCUAACCAACCUACAAAAGCAUGGAUGACGAAGUCGACAGAUGAUCGAUGAGAUUGUCGAUCAAGGCUAGGUUCUGAUCACCUUCAUCUAGAGAGAGAGAGAGAGAGAGAGAGAGAGAGGGAUUUUAUGGAGGCGAGCUGCUGUAGGUCGGGUUCUAUGGCCUAUAGUUUUAAGAUUUGACAGUGGUAUCGUCUCCAUCACUGACCACUGGCCAUAAUCUUUGCGCCACCGACGCCAGUCUUCUCAGCUAUUGGCUGCAACAGAUGUUGAUAUGGAAGAGGGGUUUUAGCUGCAUCCAGCCUUGGCCCAAAAAGCUGUGACUAUUAGAGAUUGAAAGGUUCGGUUUGCUUUUCAGUUAACAAUUUAAGAACUACUCUUAAAAGAGAUUACACUAAAAUUUGUAACUUUGUAAAUAGGGCUAUUUAGUUUAGAGAUUUAAGGAUUUUGGAUCUAAGUGCUUUAAGCAAAGGUUUUUUGUAUUUUGGCAUGAUUUGGGUGUAGGAAACAAUACUAAAACUCGGCAUUCUCUUCCAGCGUUUUCGAAAUUAUAUACAAUCAACUUUCUUUAGGAUGUGCAACCUCACAAUUAAGCAAUUUUUUCUACCAAAAAUGUUAGAAAUGUUUCUCCUUGUGAGUUUGAGUUUGUCGUUAGUGUGUGAAAUAUCAAAGGUAAACGACACCCAGGUACAUCAUAAAGCAGGAAUACCUUCAUUUCGUGGACUCAAACAAUAUAGCCUAGCCUUGUUUCUCUAAAUGUUUCUCCAAUCGGACAUAUAUAAUGUCACAACAAAGUAUUGCCUUGUUUCAUACCAUAGCCUUCGGUAGCCUUCGGUAAACUCCAUUUUAGUUGUUUCUCACCAGUGGAAUAUGUACUGAAAAUGCGCGAUCAUCAUCAAGGUACUAUAUCCUAUAAAACAUGCGAAUACCAAAGAGCUGCAAAUUUGAAUAUGCAUGGAUAUGAAUUAAUCACUAAAGCAGAGUUGAUAGAAGUGAAUAGAAUCCUUAAGACCUAUUACAGAGGUCCAAAGGAUGAGAGGAAAUGAACGCAUACACGUAUUUAUGAGGAACAUGUAUAUGUUGAACACCUAAGACAAUCGACAAUGGUUCUCUAUGAAGCAUGGGUACCGAUACCCUCCGGAUACGUAUCCGAUACAUUUUUUUAAAGUAUUUUGCUUUUAGAAUUUUUUAAAGUAUUUUGCUUUUAGAAUGUUUUUUUGGUAUCCUGAUACGUUUCGGAUACACUCGAGGGUAAAUAUGUUAUUACUUAAAAUAUAUGGGUUAAAAUUGGAAUUUGAACUACAUUUUUCUUUUUUCCCUACCAAUCGACACUAGAAACACACAGGCGAUCCUCUCUUUCGUCUCUCAUCUCUCUCGAAACCUUUUAAGUCUCUCUCUCUCUCGUUGUGUGUUUGAUAUAUGUAUAUAUAUAAGUAUAUAACUAUAUAGAUACAAUUAAUAUAUUAUAUCUCUCGGCAUGUGAAAUGGUAAAUUUGUGUAAUGGAAAAUUUUAAUCAUUAAUGGAACUUUAGAGAGAUAGAGAGAGAGAGAGGGAGAGAGAUACCUAUUCUGCGACCUUUGCCAUGACUGAUUGUGUGUGUGUGUGUGUGUGUGAGAGAGAGAGAGAGAGAGAGAGAGAGAGAGGCAGUCACACAGUAGAAGUAGAAGUAGAAGUAGAAUUGUUGCGUAGAAAAAUAAGGUUUCAAUGUGUGAAGCCCUAAACCACACAAGUACUUUAUUACCCCUUUACUUUUAUCUUUUUUUCUCCGCCCACCGGAGUACUUUUUUUUGCAAGUGUUUUUCCUUUUUCCUUUUUUUUUUUGAAUUGGAUGCCUAGAUGAGAGUUGUAUAAUAAUAGCUUAAUUUUUUGUUGUCUAAUGAAAGUUUAUGUUCUGAUGAAUUAGAUGUAAUGAGGAAAAAAAUGAACUCCUACAUUAGGAUUGUACAACAGGCGUAAUCAUUGGGGCGGAAUCAUUGGGGAUCUGACCUGGCCAUAUGCUCUGUAACCAUUUUAUUCCUUACGUUGUAUGUGACGUCACCCGAGGUGGUUACCCGAGCGUCUCCUCCACGUGCUAACUUGGAUGCCAAGCAAUUCAAGGUCUAUAAAUACAAAGGGAUAUUAACUUAAAGAGGUAUGUCAUUCUACCUUAACCCUAGAUCUAUACACUAUCCUCUACAUCUAACUUGAUCGUCGGAGGGUCACUGGGCAGCCGUCGCCCUAGUGACUUGUUGCAGGUCUGGCGUAAGGCGCACGGAGUAAUGUAGGAAGGAUUCUAACUCGGAUUACGGCUAAGAUCCCGUCAAAUCGAACCCCUACAUUAGGUAACUGUGGUUUUGUUGAAAAGAGCUCGAAUACAACAUCCCGAAAAAUUGGCAUUUCGAAAAGACUUUGAUUCAUGUAAUUGCUCAAUAUUUCCAUUAUGUCCAGACUCUUGAAUGUUUUUUGGAAGUUUUAGCUAGGUGUUUUUGCGGAUUUUCUAUGUUGCUUCCUUUCCUGGUUCUGGCUUGUUUUUCUCCAUCUUCACUUGUUUGGGCUCUAAAGGUAACGCCAUUGCAGCAUUGCCUUUUU
Long non-coding RNA from Rhododendron vialii, 6693 nucleotides. RefSeq lists it as uncharacterized. The record is from RefSeq and is a predicted model, not a curated record. The transcript has 16 exons. Lineage: Eukaryota; Viridiplantae; Streptophyta; Magnoliopsida; Ericales; Ericaceae.